CAAACACCAAAACAUAGGAACCAAAAACCCGAAUGGGGCGCUUAUAUAUUAUAUAUUUGUAUAUAUUCAUAUAUAUACACGCCAAACCGAGUAUCAAACAUGGAAAUAGACGCAAAGGGGCGAAUAAAAAAGAAUUUAUUACACAUUGACUGCCGAAAAAAAAAGCAGAAACAAAAAAAGGCCCCAAGUGGAAUCGUACGAAAAAGUGAAGAAGACAAGCAAACAUUGGAGGAGCUCACAAAAAAAGAUAAACAGACAUUUCUAUAUAAUGAAUAAUACCAUUAAAAAAUUCCCCACACACACCGAUACGUCCAGUUAAUGAACGCGAAAUGUUUGGUGGAGAUAGCAACGCCAGCGAAAAAGGGGGCAAAUGGACGAACAUCUGAUCCAAAGUGUAUCGAACUUUUAUUGAUUUAUUUUAUCAAACCUGCCUGCCCACUUUAUGGCUCUUAUCGACAUACUAACUCUUGAGUCACCAGCAGCAUUAUAACCAUCGAAGCCAGCGAAGAUUGCCAAACAGAAAGUUCAGCAUCCAAUUAACUGAUGUAGCAGCUGGACACAUGUCGUAUACGUAAUGUUUUGGGGCGCCUAGAAAACUUCAAAAACUGGCUCCAACUCGAGAUAGGGGCUGGCGAUAGAAGCAUACCAGGAAUUCACUGAUUUCCCUGAAUUCCCAUUUCGGAAUUAAUCAGAACUGCCAAUCAUAGCUUUCUAUGUAUGAUUUUCUCUAUAUCCUGACCCUCAGUACAUUUAAUAUAUUUAAGGAUUCAUCAUAAAAAAACAAACUUCAAACUGCAUUUAUUUUUGUAACUUCCAAGGACCCACUCAAAUGUAAUAAUGAUAUACUCCCUAAAGAUACCAGGCAACAAAUUCGAUUAAAUUAAAUUUUAGCGACACAUAAUGGAAAUUCUGGACAGGAGAGGAAAAUAACCAACUGACGCACGGAGUUACAUGUGUAUAUUUGUUAUUUAUCCAGUAGCUGCUGUGGCAGAAAAUCACGACCAUGUCCUUGAAUACGAAAUUGCGACCCAACUUGCAGAGGGAACGCCAAGGAUACGUAGGGAGCAGCAAGGAUAACAGCCCGAUCCCACGCUCUGUUUAACACCCUCAACAGCCACGACAAAAGCACAAAUUGUUUAUACGUACAAACAGCUGCGGGCAAGAUAAUAGCACCGGAAGUGCAGAGA
Molecule: long non-coding RNA, 1187 nt
Organism: Drosophila simulans
Lineage: Eukaryota; Metazoa; Arthropoda; Insecta; Diptera; Drosophilidae
Exons: 3
Source: RefSeq, a predicted model, not a curated record